AAUGGGCGAAAGCCUGACGCAGCGACGCCGCGUGAGUGAUGAAGGCCCUCGGGUUGUAAAGCUCUGUGGAGAGAGACGAAUAAGGGUUGGCUAAUAUCCAACUCGAUGACGGUAUCUUUUUAGCAAGCACCGGCUAACUCUGUGCCAGCAGCCGCGGUAAGACAGAGGGUGCAAACGUUGUUCGGAAUUACUGGGCGUAAAGCGCGUGUAGGCUGCGAUGCAAGUCGGAUGUGAAAGCCCUGGGCUCAACCUAGGAAGUGCAUUCGAAACUGCGUUGCUUGAGUUCUGGAGAGGAAGGCGGAAUUCUCGGUGUAGAGGUGAAAUUCGUAGAUAUCGAGAGGAACACCGGUGGCGAAGGCGGCCUUCUGGACAGCAACUGACGCUGAGACGCGAAAGCGUGGGGAGCAAA
RNAcentral lists this ribosomal RNA (409 nucleotides) under uncultured bacterium. RNAcentral's name for it is "bacterial SSU rRNA". It matches the Rfam family "Bacterial small subunit ribosomal RNA", at positions 370 to 772 of the family's 1533-position model. The record is from RNAcentral.